GCGGGACUCAAACCCAGAGCAGAAGCAAAGCCUCCAUUCACAUCCUGCUCUACCACCUGAGCUAAACACCAUUAUGAGUUCACACUGGAUGAAUAAACACAAUGAGUCCCGCCCACAGACUUUCUGACGAAUGCAGGUGGAGCGCGCCGAAAAGGGGCGGUCUCGCUCGUUUCCCGCGUGAAAUUAGUGGAUUUCCCUCCAAAACUGUAGAUGUGUAUUUAAAUAGCUGUUGGAUCGUCACUCUGGUUCCAGCGGCUCUACUCUGAGGACACGAAUACGGUGAACAGUGGGACUUGUCUUCAGCUUCAGGUGGAACAGCUCUGACCUGUAUGGUGAUCAGACCCGGAGAGGAGACACACCUGGUCCAACCAGGUGAUGGACAGUUGAAAGGACGAAUCACCAAGAUGAGCCAAUCAAUGGAGACGAGCCGCCACAGGAGCCUGAACCUGUACUUCACGAGGGGGAUCAAACAUGGCUGAUAUAUCUGCAGUUCACUGCUCGUUUCUCCAGAACGAGAGCAGCCAGGAGCUGAAAGUUGUGGGCAG
Molecule: long non-coding RNA, 545 nt
Organism: Acanthopagrus latus (yellowfin seabream)
Lineage: Eukaryota; Metazoa; Chordata; Actinopteri; Spariformes; Sparidae
Exons: 3
Source: RefSeq, a predicted model, not a curated record